Long non-coding RNA from Gossypium raimondii (Peruvian cotton), 4179 nucleotides. RefSeq lists it as uncharacterized. NCBI's taxonomy places the organism in Eukaryota, Viridiplantae, Streptophyta, Magnoliopsida, Malvales, Malvaceae. The record is from RefSeq and is a predicted model, not a curated record. The transcript is spliced from 3 exons.
AAAAAGAAAAAGAAAGGAAGCCACUAUCAUAUCAUCUUCUCCACUGUCGAAACUGGAGAAAGAAGAAAAGAGAAAAGCUUGGCUAAGGUUCGGCCAUUGGGAGUUAGAUUAAGGUUAGGUUCUUUUGGUUCGAUCAUCAACUUCAGCAUCCAGCGACAAUCUCGGACUUAAGUGUUGAUGAUGUUUUUAGUUUGGUCAUGACAUGUACCUAAGAGGGUUAUAUGGUUGUAUAUGUUAUGCUUUGGAUUAAUUUGGUAUUUUGAAUGUUAUGUGAAUAUGUGUAUAUAUAAAUGUUGGUAAUGAUCUUUGUAGUUGAUAACCUUGUUGAAUUAUUUAGGUAUGUAUGUUUAAUUGCUUGUAUGGUGAUUAGGUAAUAUGUCUUGAAAUAGGCUUAGUAAAAUGAAUAGUAUGCAUAUGCUAAGUUUGAAAGAAUAUGGUAAGGUUUGGUAUAUGUUUGUGUGGUUGACAUUAAUGCCAUCUUAAGAUUGUUUUGAAUGAUUAAAUGAUGUGUGUCAUGUUGAUUGUAUUGUGGCACUUGAUGGUAUAAGCAUACUUUCGUACCUAUAAUGCAUUUUGAUUGAUGAAAUUUGGUAAUUGGGAUUGAUGUGAUUUUGGUGAACAAAUUGGUAUGAAACUUUGGUAUGUUUAUACAUAAAGGGUUAGUGAUGAAUUGUUGAAUUGAUGUACUAAUUGUGGCAUAUUGGUUAGGCACUUAAUAUGGUUGUUAUAAGUGGUGUUUUGGAGCAUGUUUUGAUGCUUUUGAUUAGGUUGAGAGUUAGUUUAAGGCUUGUGGCUUAAGUGAAUUAGGGAUUAUAAAACUUGUUUUGGAAGGUUUCUUUAAGUACCCACAAUCUAACACACGACCGUGUGCCAUACAUGGGCAUAUGGCACGGCUGUGUGGUCUAUAUAUUUUGGGUGAUAAUUGGUGCAUACGGUCACAGUCUCUCACACGGUCCAGCCACACGACCGUGUGAAUGUUUGUAAGAUUUUACAAUUAAGUACACACAUGGUCUCAGUUUGUUACACGACCUAACGACACGGCCGUGUGACUUUAUAUUACACGAUCUUACUUCUUUCACACGAUUGGGCUACACAGCUGUGUGUUUCAACCCCACACGACCUCAGCCUUUCACACGGUAAGGGGACAUAACCGUGUGACCCCUGUUUACAAAAUUUUCCUAUUUUUCUAUAAUUGUUUCAAAUUGAUCCCUGAUUGAUGUCAAGUGAAUUUAAAGCUUUCAUAAGCUCAAUUUAAACCCAAAAUUGUUUGUAAUGCAUGUUAUAAUCAAUCAUAGGUGAUAAAUUGAUAUUGAAUUGAAAUUUUGAACUAUGAAUUGCAUGUAAAUGCUCCGUAUUUGUUUGUAGAACCUUAUCGCUCGAGUCCGGUGGUCGGACUGGGUGUAGGGUGUUACAUGUAAACUCUAAUCAACUUUUCUAUUGACUGACCUUGGACUCCUAAGAUUUUAUUGCUUGAACAUUUUUGCAAACAUUGAAAGUGUUUGUCAAGGUUUUUUUUGUAGCGACCUGGUUUUCAGUGGUCUCGAAAAAUGCAAUUUAAGGACCCCAUUUCAAUAAAUCGAGUUCGUAAAUAGUAAAUAGGUAUACUUAUGAAACUAUUAUAUUGAUUAUAUUUGAAGAAGUGAUUGGAUCAAACAAGAUUAUUUUUCAAGGAUUUUAAUGUGAUCGACUUACUUUAUAUAUUGAGAUAUGCUAUCACAAAAGAUAUGGACCGACUUUAUAAAGAUUUAUUUAAAUCUCUUGUAUCCUAAGUAUAAUUGGUUUGAUGAGAUUUGGAAAGAUAAUUCUAGAUUGAAGUUUGCUUAGUGAAGCUAAGUUUUUGCUCUAAAUGUGGAAGCCUUAUUCAAUAUUGAUACAAGUUUUUAUUGUUGAGAAAAUUAUGUGAGCAAUGCCUCAUGCAAUGCCACCAACAGUGCCCACUACACUUGGUAUUGCGCAAAUUACAAAACUUGCCUUAUAGAGUUGUCAAUCUUUUCAACCAAAUCUCUUGGGUAAUGAAUUAGAUGAUUUAGUGGACGUACGUUGGCCCAUAUUUGAAGAUCCAUAGUGUGGAGCAACAAAUCUUUGAAGAUUGGAUUGAAUCAAAUCGGAUUAAGCAAUCAGAUUCUGGUUUAAUGAGAUUAGGUCAGAUAACUUGAAACAUAUCUUGAGAAUUCUCGACUUAUCUUGAACUUUAUGGAGAUUCUCAACGUUGAUUGUGCUGCUAUUUUUGUAAGAAUUUUUUUAUUGUAAUUUAUUUUCAUCUUAGAAAACCUUAUACUCUUAUAUAUUAGAGGCUUGUGUAAGUUAAAAGGUGCAGAUAGUUUUAACACUUAUCUAUUCAUUAGGAAUUUAUCUUUUGAGAGUACAUUCUUGUAAAUAAACAGGUGAGCCACUUGAUUUAAUGUCCAAUUUUUCAGGGGGAAAACUUAGAGGAGAGUAAUCUAGAUCUUUUAAGUACAAAAGUGAGGCUCCUAAACUGAUGUAUGUUAAGACUUAAAUCACUUGUAUGAAGUUGAAAGAUAGUGGAUCAUCUCUCUAAAUAAAGCCUCACAAACAAAAGGAAACCAAACUGUGUAAACAAUUAGGGUGCGUUUGUUUGCUGUAAAAUGGUUUUCGGAAAACAUUUUACACCAUUUCCGGUGUUUGUUUGGGGGAAAUGAAUUCCUUUAGGAAAACAUUUUCCAAACACGGUAAAAUCAAACCCAUUCCUCCGGAAAUUGUCUUACGGAUUCAAAAUUGGUAAGACAUUUUCCAUUCUUCUCUAAGCAAACAUUUUCCAUUCUCUUCUAAGCAGCAGACAUUUUCCAUUCCUCAAAGCUUCCACCUCUCCUCAUCUCUGCCUCGCCAUUUCUGUCUCUCAGCUUCAUCUUCCUUCUCCAUAUUUCUGCUCCAUAGAUCUGUCGGUGAGUCACCCAAAAGCUUCAAGUUUUUUAUGAAAUUGGUGGUUUUUUGUUGGAUUUUCCAGAAAUCGGAAAAAGGAUGAAAACUCAUCCUCUUCUUCCCUACACCACUCGACCCCCAAUUCUUCACUAAAGGUAAGCUUUCCCUUUUAAUUUUCUUGCUAUUUUCUCUAUAAAAAUCUCAACAUUUCUACCUUCAAAGCUUCAAUUAGUAGAUGCGAUUGACCCGAUUCAUUUCUUAUCUCUUAUCAUUUUUUAUUUGUUUAUUCCUUAUUUGUUCAUUUGUUUAUUUCUUGUUGUGUAAUUUUAGGGUUGCUGAAUUUCUUAAACGAAUUAAGCUUAAUACUCUAAUGUUCACUUCUUUUUCGUAUAGUUAAUGAUUAUCAUCAUUUACGUUACCGUGGAUUUUAGAAACCCCAUAACUAUUCUUACUAUUGUUGUAUUGUGUUUCCAUUGUCGAUUUUAUUAUCUACACUUAAAGGCAUUCAUGGCUGUCAGUUAACUUGCUUGGGGCGUUUUUGAACUUUCAUAUAGGAUAGUAAUCGUGUACUUAAUAAGCAUGCAGCAGAUUAGUAGCGUCCCAUGUGGAGAUUUUAGCUUCACUAGUGGUGCACUAAAUAAUCCUUUUUUUUUUGUCAUGGAGACAAUAGAUUCUUUUAUGUUAAGCAUACUAGCAAAUAGCGUAUUCCAUUGCAAUUCCUCCUAGGCUCCUGCUAAUGAAUGAUAUGGAUGUUUGAGUUAUGAUUUAAUUUUCUUGCUAUUUUCUCUAUAAAAAUCUCAACAUUUCUACCUUCAAAGCUUCAGUUUUUAGCUAAGGUUUUUUUUUUAGCGAUAAACUAUUUUUUUGCUAAUGCUGUUGGAAUGGUAUAUAGGUUGUUAAUUUAAAAUGCUUUAAAUAAUGACAAUUCAAUGCAGUAUUAUUUGUUUAGUUAUUUCAAGGAUAUCAUACUUUUUUGCAGGGCUAUUGAGCGCCCAAUUUUUUCAACACUUACAGGACUAUUGUGUGAUCUGUAUUCACUUAUUCCUCCUCUUCUAGUUGCAACACAUAAGAAACUCAAGAAUGGGUAAGGGCAACAAAGAAUGGACCUCCAAGCAAUUCAGGUGGACAAAAUCGAUGGAACAUGUUUUCCUUGAAAUUCUAGCAGAGGAGGCUCGAAAAGGAAAUAAACCUUCUAAUACUUUCAAAGCAGUUUCUAUUAAUCGAGUUGUCGACGCCAUUUCUGAAAGAUUCCAAGUCCAAUGCGAUCUGAAGCAUGUGGAAAAUCAUUUGAGGACGAGA